RNAcentral lists this ribosomal RNA (542 nucleotides) under Bacillus thuringiensis. RNAcentral's name for it is "bacterial SSU rRNA". It matches the Rfam family "Bacterial small subunit ribosomal RNA", at positions 189 to 717 of the family's 1533-position model. The record is from RNAcentral. Lineage: Bacteria; Bacillati; Bacillota; Bacilli; Caryophanales; Bacillaceae.
AUGGUUCGAAAUUGAAAGGCGGCUUCGGCUGUCACUUAUGGAUGGACCCGCGUCGCAUUAGCUAGUUGGUGAGGUAACGGCUCACCAAGGCAACGAUGCGUAGCCGACCUGAGAGGGUGAUCGGCCACACUGGGACUGAGACACGGCCCAGACUCCUACGGGAGGCAGCAGUAGGGAAUCUUCCGCAAUGGACGAAAGUCUGACGGAGCAACGCCGCGUGAGUGAUGAAGGCUUUCGGGUCGUAAAACUCUGUUGUUAGGGAAGAACAAGUGCUAGUUGAAUAAGCUGGCACCUUGACGGUACCUAACCAGAAAGCCACGGCUAACUACGUGCCAGCAGCCGCGGUAAUACGUAGGUGGCAAGCGUUAUCCGGAAUUAUUGGGCGUAAAGCGCGCGCAGGUGGUUUCUUAAGUCUGAUGUGAAAGCCCACGGCUCAACCGUGGAGGGUCAUUGGAAACUGGGAGACUUGAGUGCAGAAGAGGAAAGUGGAAUUCCAUGUGUAGCGGUGAAAUGCGUAGAGAUAUGGAGGAACACCAGUGGCG